GACGAACGCUGGCGGCGUGCUUAACACAUGCAAGUCGAACGAAGCUUGAUGACGGAUUCUUCGGUGGAAGUAUGAUAUGACGGAGUGGCGGCCGGGUGAGUAACUCGUUAGUAACCUGCCCUUCAGAGGGGGAUAGCGUUUUGAAACCAACGGUAAUACCGCAUAAUGUAUUUUGACCGCAUGAUCGGAUUAUCAAAGAUUUGUCACUGAAGGAUGGACUCGCGUCGGUUUAGGUAGGUGGAGAGGUAACGCCCUACCAAGACGGCGAUCAGUAGCCGGAGUGAGGAGUCGAUCGGCCAACUCGGGACUGAGGCACCGGCCAGGAUUCUUCGGGAGGGAGCAGUGGGGAAUCUUGGAAAAGGGGCGCAAGCCUGAAGCAGCAACGGCGCGUGAAGGAAGACUGUUUUCGGAGUGGAAACGUCUGUUUUUAGUGGAGAAUAAUGACGGUAGCUAAGGAGCAAGCCACGGCUAACUACGUG
Molecule: ribosomal RNA, 479 nt
Filed under: uncultured bacterium
Lineage: Bacteria
Description: partial 16S ribosomal RNA
Rfam family: Bacterial small subunit ribosomal RNA
Source: RNAcentral